GACGAACGCUGGCGGCGUGCUUAACACAUGCAAGUCGAACGGAAAGGCCUUUUCGGCGGUACUCGAGUGGCGAACGGGUGCGUAACACGUGGGUGAUCUGCCCUGCACUCUGGGAUAAGCCUGGGAAACUGGGUCUAAUACCGGAUAGGACCGCACUUUAGUGUGUGUGGUGGAAAGUUUUUUCGGUGUAGGAUGAGCCCGCGGCCUAUCAGCUUGUUGGUGGGGUAAUGGCCUACCAAGGCGGCGACGGGUAGCCGGACUGAGAGGUUGGUCGGCCACAUUGGGACUGAGAUACGGCCCAGACUCCUAAGGGAGGGAGCAGUGGGGAAGAUUGCACAAUGGGCGCAAGCCUGAUGCAGCGACGCCGCGUGGGGGAUGACGGCCUUCGGGUUGUAAACUCCUUUCGCCAGGGACGAAGCGUUUUGUGACGGUACCUGGAGAAGAAGCACCGGCUAACUACGUG
This 463-nucleotide ribosomal RNA is filed under the name uncultured bacterium. Its description in RNAcentral is "partial 16S ribosomal RNA". It matches the Rfam family "Bacterial small subunit ribosomal RNA", at positions 28 to 507 of the family's 1533-position model. The record is from RNAcentral.